This 455-nucleotide ribosomal RNA is filed under the name uncultured bacterium. Its description in RNAcentral is "bacterial SSU rRNA". It matches the Rfam family "Bacterial small subunit ribosomal RNA", at positions 339 to 791 of the family's 1533-position model. The record is from RNAcentral.
UUACGGGAGGCAGCAGUGAGGAAUAUUGGUCAAUGGUCGCAAGACUGAACCAGCCAUGCCGCGUGCAGGAAGACGGUCCUAUGGAUUGUAAACUGCUUUUAUACAGGAAGAAACCCUCCCACGUGUGGGAGCUUGACGGUACUGUAGGAAUAAGGAUCGGCUAACUCCGUGCCAGCAGCCGCGGUAAUACGGAGGAUCCAAGCGUUAUCCGGAAUCAUUGGGUUUAAAGGGUCCGUAGGCGGUCUUAUAAGUCAGUGGUGAAAGCCCAUCGCUCAACGAUGGAACUGCCAUUGAUACUGUAAGACUUGAAUGCUUAGGAAGUAACUAGAAUAUGUAGUGUAGCGGUGAAAUGCUUAGAUAUUACAUGGAAUACCAAUUGCGAAGGCAGGUUACUACUAAGUGAUUGACGCUGAUGGACGAAAGCGUGGGGAGCGAACAGGAUUAGAUACCCCGGU